CCAAAAACGGUUAUUCCUUUAAAGACAUUUGUUAUUGUGCUUCUUUUAUAUUUUGUACUACAUCAUGGAAUCUAUUGAUUUUCCAGUUGAGAAAUUUUAUAAUCUAAGAAAUUAGGAACAUGAUACCAAAUAUAUUAACGACUAUUAAAGUGCCAGCAGUCGCGGUCACACUUUAGUUAAAAAUAAAAAAUACUAGGAUAAUGUGUUAAGUAAAUAAUUUCCUAUAGUAAAAUAUGGAUUAAACUGCUCUUUUAUACUUAAAUUUUAUCAAAUACUGAUACCAAACAGGGAUUAGAUACCCCUCUAUGCAGUACGCAAAAAUCUAUCCUGGGCACUACAAUUACCAAAUUAAAACCCAACUAACAUGGCGGUAGUUUAAAUAUUUAGGGGAACUUACUAGAUAAAUGAUAACCACCAAGAACAUGUACGUUAAGUAAUAUUUUACAUACCGUCGUCGUCAGAUAUACUAAAAUGGAAUGUCAUAAUAUUAUUAAUAAAAGGACAGAUCAAGGUGUAGACUACCUUAACGAUUUAGCGAGUUACAAUAUCUAAUAUUUUCUUAAUUCAGCCAUAAUGCUGUUUAAAGGCGGACUUAAAAGUAAUAGUUAAUAAAAUUAAAUUAUGAAUAACUCUUAACCUGUGC
Molecule: ribosomal RNA, 643 nt
Filed under: Helix figulina
Lineage: Eukaryota; Metazoa; Mollusca; Gastropoda; Stylommatophora; Helicidae
Description: partial small subunit ribosomal RNA
Source: RNAcentral